GCCAGCAGCUAGCUCUCCGCAAAUCUCACAUGCUUGCCCACUGAAGCUAAGCAGGGCAGUACCUGGUCAGUACCUGGAUGGGACACCACAUAGGAAUGCUAGGUUGCUGCUGGAA
Danio rerio (zebrafish) is the source of this 115-nucleotide ribosomal RNA. Lineage: Eukaryota; Metazoa; Chordata; Actinopteri; Cypriniformes; Danionidae. The record is from Ensembl.